Molecule: long non-coding RNA, 615 nt
Organism: Panicum hallii
Lineage: Eukaryota; Viridiplantae; Streptophyta; Magnoliopsida; Poales; Poaceae
Exons: 2
Source: RefSeq, a predicted model, not a curated record
CACCCAUCCGCUCCCCGACCCCGAUCCGUCUCCGCCAGCGCGAGUCAUUCCCCGGCGGCUGGCCCUUUUUCCGGCGCGCCCCUUCCCCGGCGGCCGGCGAGCCGUCGGGGCCCUGCUCCGCCGCCCCGGCUCCGGCUCCCUGCUCCCGCCAGGCCGGCUCCCACCUCUCGGCCGGCCGGAGCCGGACCUAGCUCCGCCCGGUGCCCAGUCCCAGACGGCCCGACGCCCCAGGCGCGGCAACGCUUCCUGCUCUGCCACUGCGGGGAGGCGAUCUGCGGACGGCCGCCGCUGCCAAAUCUUCAUUUGCGCUUCAAAGUUGUGCGCAAGUCUCGACGAUUUGUCUCUCUUUUUGUCUCCCACGUGAUUGAUUUCAUGGAAUUGACUGAACUUUUCAUCUUAUUACUUUGAACUCGAUCAUCAAGCUUCCCCUUUCAUACGGAAGAAGCAACUGAUAAAACCUUGCUGACAUCUGCAAUAGAAGAACAUAGGUGUGUAAUCAUGGUUGUUCCCUAUAAGUAUCUACAGUGAUUAUAAUGUACUUUUGCAAUUCUUGGAUCAGCAUGUCUAUGCAGCAUAUAUUUUGCAAGCACUGAACUCGGUGCUUCCAUUUUGCAA